Molecule: ribosomal RNA, 116 nt
Filed under: uncultured Microsporidia
Lineage: Eukaryota; Fungi; Microsporidia
Description: partial small subunit ribosomal RNA
Rfam family: Microsporidia small subunit ribosomal RNA
Source: RNAcentral
GUGGAUGCUAGUCUCAUAGAUUAAGCCAUGCAUGUGUAAGCGAAGCGUAAGUGAAGCGGCGCACGGCUCAGUAACGGGCGGCCUUUGAUCUCCCGGCGUGGAUAACCGCUGUAAAC